RNAcentral lists this ribosomal RNA (663 nucleotides) under uncultured Clostridiaceae bacterium. RNAcentral describes it as "bacterial SSU rRNA". It matches the Rfam family "Bacterial small subunit ribosomal RNA", at positions 1 to 670 of the family's 1533-position model. Lineage: Bacteria; Bacillati; Bacillota; Clostridia; Eubacteriales; Clostridiaceae. The record is from RNAcentral.
UAGAGUUUGAUCAUGGCUCAGGAUGUACGCUGGCGGCGUGCCUAACACAUGCAAGUCGAACGAAGCUCCCAGAAUUGAGUUUUCGGACAAGAGGAAGGGAUGACUUAGUGGCGGACGGGUGAGUAAUGCGUGAGCAACCUGCCUUUCAGAGGGGGACAACAGUUGGAAACGACUGCUAAUACCGCAUAACGUAUAUUGAUGGCAUCAUCGAUAUACCAAAGAUUUUAUCGCUGAAAGAUGGGCUCACGUCUGAUUAGCUAGUUGGUGAGGUAAUGGCUCACCAAGGCUGCGAUCAGUAGCCGGACUGAGAGGUCGAACGGCCACAUUGGGACUGAGAUACGGCCCAGACUCCUACGGGAGGCAGCAGUGGGGAAUAUUGGGCAAUGGGCGCAAGCCUGACCCAGCAACGCCGCGUGAAGGAAGAAGCUUUCGGGUUGUAAACUUCUUUUGGCAGGGACGAAAAAAUGACGGUACCUGCAGAAUAAGCUCCGGCUAACUACGUGCCAGCAGCCGCGGUAAUACGUAGGAGCAAGCGUUAUCCGGAUUUACUGGGUGUAAAGGGCGCGUAGGCGGGAUGCAAGUCAGAUGUGAAUCUGGGGGCUCACCCUCAACUGCAUUUGAAACUUGUAUUUCUUGAGUGGAUGGAGAGGCAGUUGAAAUGCU